This is a non-coding RNA of Plutella xylostella (diamondback moth), 144 nucleotides long. The record is from RefSeq and is a predicted model, not a curated record. Lineage: Eukaryota; Metazoa; Arthropoda; Insecta; Lepidoptera; Plutellidae.
GGCCUUCUGGAGGAGGACGACGAAUUUGAAGAAUUCCCCGCCGAAAACUGGGGCACUGAGGAUGCUGAUGAUGAAGAUGUCUCCGUUUGGGAGGACAACUGGGAGGACGACAUCGUCCAGGAUGAUUUCAACCAACAAUUGAGG